UACGGAGGGUGCGAGCGUUAUCCGGAAUUACUGGGUUUAAAGGGUGCGUAGGCGGCCAAGUAAGUCAGGAGUGAAAGUUUGCGGCUCAACCGUAAAAUUGCUUUUGAUACUGCUAGGCUAGAAUUAGGAUGAGGUCAGCGGAAUGUGGCAUGUAGUGGUGAAAUGCAUAGAUAUGCCAUAGAACACCAAUUGCGAAGGCAGCUGGCUAGACCUGGAUUGACGCUGAGGCACGAAAGCGUGGGGAUCGAACAGG
Molecule: ribosomal RNA, 253 nt
Filed under: uncultured bacterium
Lineage: Bacteria
Description: partial 16S ribosomal RNA
Rfam family: Bacterial small subunit ribosomal RNA
Source: RNAcentral